CCUACGGGGGGCUGCAGUGGGGAAUAUUGCACAAUGGGGGAAACCCUGAUGCAGCGACGCCGCGUGAGUGAAGAAGUAUUUCGGUAUGUAAAGCUCUAUCAGCAGGGAAGAGAAUGACGGUACCUGAGUAAGAAGCCCCGGCUAACUACGUGCCAGCAGCCGCGGUAAUACGUAGGGGGCAAGCGUUAGCCGGAUUUAUUGGGUGUAAAGGGAGCGUAGACGGCGGAGAAAGUCUGAAGUGAAAGCCCGCGGCUCAACCGCGGAACUGCUUUGGAAACUUUUUUGCUGGAGUACCGGAGAGGUAAGCGGAAUGCCUGGUGUAGCGGUGAAAUGCGUAGAUAUUAGGAGGAACACCAGUGGCGAAGGCGGCUUACUGGACGGUAACUGACGUUGAGGCUCGAAAGCGUGGGGAGCGAACAGGAUUAGAUACCCGAGUAGUC
Molecule: ribosomal RNA, 440 nt
Filed under: uncultured bacterium
Lineage: Bacteria
Description: partial 16S ribosomal RNA
Rfam family: Bacterial small subunit ribosomal RNA
Source: RNAcentral